This is a long non-coding RNA of Brienomyrus brachyistius, 470 nucleotides long. RefSeq lists it as uncharacterized. The transcript is spliced from 2 exons. The record is from RefSeq and is a predicted model, not a curated record. NCBI's taxonomy places the organism in Eukaryota, Metazoa, Chordata, Actinopteri, Osteoglossiformes, Mormyridae.
CACACUACUUCACUCCAAGGUCCCAGACCUCUCCACCACGAUACUAUUCUCAGGGGUCCCAGACCCUUCAACAACGAUACUAUUCUCAGGGGUCCCAGACCCUUCAACAACGAUACUAUUCUCAGGGGUCCCAGACCUUUCCACAACGAUACUAUUCUCAGGGGUCCCAGACCCUUCAACAACACUCCUUUACUCAAAGGUCCCAGACCUUUCCACAACGAUACUAUUCUCAGGGGUCCCAGACCCUUCAACAACGAUACUAUUCUCAGGGGUCCCAGACCCUUCAACAACGAUACUAUUCUCAGGGGUCCCAGACCCUUCAACAACGAUACUAUUCUCAGGGGUCCCAGACCCUUCAACAACACUCCUUUACUCAAAGGUCCCAGACCUUUCCACAACGAUACUAUUCUCAGGGGUCCCAGACCCUUCAACAACGAUACUAUUCUCAGGGGUCCCAGACCCUUCAACAA